UAUAAACCAAAAUUUUCGACUAAAAAAUUGCUACCAUUUAAAGAUUAACCCUUAAUUCACUACCUGAGUCCAUUGGACUCACAUCGAACUUUCAAACUAUUAUAUUUUUUUCCCCUGGUGACUUAUUUCCUCCACCGUCUCAGUACCUUCCUGCAGUGACGUGGGCACCGCGGUAGCGAGAGGACGUGCGCCUGCGCUGCGUAAUAGGUUUGUAAAAUGGAUCUAAAACAACAUAAAGUUGUAAAUAUGAAUGAAGACCAGGCAGAUUCUGUUUUGGAAUCAUGGAUCACACAAAUUAUGAAUGAUGAAGAUGCGAGCCACUCUGAAACCGAAGACAAGCUAUCUAGGACAGAAAGAAAGCAUUGUUAUCCAUGUAAUUACAAAAAGAGAACAAAGACUGCACAUUCAGGCACUAGAUGUCUGAAGCCUGUAUGUUUGAGUUGCUCAAAAAUGGCAUGCCGUCGCUGCCUGCAAUCGGUGGCAAUACCCCAUUGCACGUUUUAUUUUUUUGUAUAGAAGCGUACAUUUUUGUUGUUUAUUUUCGGUUUUGCAUUCCUUUAGAAGUCUUAUAAAAUUAAAAAGAGCCAUUAGUUAAAAAUAUUUGCCAUUAUUGUAGGGCUUUGAAAAUAACUCUGUUUUCUAAGACUAUUAGAAUAAGUUUUUUUUUAUUUUUAAGAGUAUUUCAGAAGUUUAUCCAGUUUUAUUAUUUUUUUGUAGUGCCUUAAUAAACAUUUAAAAAUAAUAAUAAAAAAACUUAAUAAAAAAAAGAGUUUUAUUUGAAAAAAACACGCCAAGAAAAUAUAUGAGUCCAGUGGACUCAUGGAAGCUGUUUAUGUUAGCAAAUUUCACCUAGUGAAUUGAGGGUUAAGGAUUAAUCUAUCUAUAGUAAUUAUUAGUUUAAUUUGGUUUUGUAUUAUUUUGUCGCAAAAUGUACCGAAAAACUGCUUAUUUUUGUCAGAUUCGUAAACGCGUCCUUAAGAACAUCGUUUUGGUUAGGCUUCCAUUAUCAAGCAAUUUUAAACUUCAUUCAAUUGACAUACAGUUCAAAUUAUUUUGUACUUUUCAAAGACCUAAGGGAGAGAGAGUCUGUUCUGCCAACUUUUAGAAAAAAUAAAAACAUUUCUAAUGUUGGCCCCUCCGAUGUAAUCAUUUAAUAUUAGAUUUAAUUUUUUAGUUUUAAUUAUUUAUUAUUAUUUCUUAUUUUUUUUUAAACCUUAUUUUUGUAUAUUUUAAUUUUAAGCUAAUACAUUAAUAAAUUAUUUCUUUCUUUCUUCGAUUUCUUGUCAAUGGUUAAGACUUAAGCAUAGACAACCUCUUGAUGUUGAUUUGUUGUUUGAAAUUUGAAUUCAAAAUGGCGUUUUAUUAAUUGUUUUGGUGGAAGAUAAACAAAAUCUGUUCUUCGUAUAUCGUAGAUUUUCUUACUUAUUUACUCAGUUAAUGUACAGUACAUUGAAUUUUUUAAUUUGUUAUAUUUCUGCCAAAAGUGAAA
Long non-coding RNA from Colias croceus (clouded yellow), 1489 nucleotides. RefSeq lists it as uncharacterized. The transcript is spliced from 2 exons. NCBI's taxonomy places the organism in Eukaryota, Metazoa, Arthropoda, Insecta, Lepidoptera, Pieridae. The record is from RefSeq and is a predicted model, not a curated record.